Molecule: long non-coding RNA, 1487 nt
Organism: Zophobas morio
Lineage: Eukaryota; Metazoa; Arthropoda; Insecta; Coleoptera; Tenebrionidae
Exons: 3
Source: RefSeq, a predicted model, not a curated record
UCGGAUCUAGCGAGAAUCUUUAGACAUCAAAUCCUCCGUUUGUAGGUAUGGUUGGGAGUAGGGGCGGUACUAUCGACGAUUUACUGGUGCCUCCAUUGUUUAGCUUUGGUUUGAUUGCUGAUGUCCAGUAUGUAGAUCGAGAUAACGGAACAGACUUUUCAGGGAGUAAAGUCAGAAGGUAUAGACAAUCAUUAAAAAGCCUUGAAAGGGCUGUGAAAGUUUGGAACAAAGAAAUUUCGGGUACGGAAAAGAUUUCUACGCUAAAUAUUGGUGUAGAGCUUAAAUACAAUACAUUUUUGAAUCAGAAUACAAAAAUAAUGUUUAUAUGUCAGUUAGGAGAUUUAAUAGACGGUUUUAACAGGGAGGAUGGGACGAGAUACAUUGCUAUCAGGGAGGUGUUAAAAGUUUUAAAGAAAUGCAUCUGUAGAAAAAUAUACCACUGUAUAGGUAACCACGAAUUAUACAAUUUUAAGCGAGAAGAACUACAGCGUUUACUGAAGGAAUACUCUUCACGGUCAAUAUAGUAACAUUUGUAAGCUCCAGCGUUCGUUCUAUUCCUUCUCUCCCUUUCCUGCAGUGAUAUAAACAUUUCUAAUUUGCCCAAGAACUAUGAUAAGCAAAAACUACAAGAAUUAUCACGUCUCUACAAGGAAAGCGCUUACCGAUAUUUAUGUAAAUAUAAUCCAAACGAUUUGAAAUCUGAUGCAGAUUGGCUUACCGGACUAAAAGGCCCUAAAAUGCGUUUUGCUCCGUUUAACGGAGCAUUCGGGGUUAUUCAAAGGGAGUGGCUGAGGAAAGAACUAAAACGUUUAAAAAAUAUGAGGCAUUACGUUGUAAUUUUUACACACAUCGCCCUCCAUCCCUCUAGUUGUAUCAACAGUUGCUUAGUUUGGGAUUACGAAGAAACUUGGGAAAUAUUAAGAGAGAAUAACACUCAAAAUGUAUAUGAAUAUUUAGAAUCUAACGAUCGUAAUUUAUAUAGUGAAAGUAACCAAAAUCUUUUUACGCAACUACCUAAUGAAAGUAAAAAAUAUUUAAAGUGUAAUAGGAGAGUGAAGUGUGAAAGUAGUAGUGAAGACGGUCAUAUUAAGUUUUAUAAUGAUAUUACUAACCAAAAAAAAGAUCAGAAUGGUUGUAAUAAUACAAAAAAGGGUAAUAAUUAUAAUAAUAAUAAUAAAAACAAUAGCGCCUUUAGUAUAUUCGCAGAAAAAAUUUCUUCGUCCCAUUCUUUUUCGGAGCGCAACGUAGUGGCAGUUUUCAGUGGACACGAUCAUUCUGGAGGGUACGGGGUAGAUGAAGUAGGGAUUCACCAUGUUACACUGGAAGCUCCCCUUGAAGCACCAGAAGACGUAUUAUCUUUUGCCACUGUGGAAGUGUACAACAACUAUUUACUAGUAAAAGGUCGCGGCUCAGUAACCUCUCGCAAGUUAGUUUUUAAUGGGUAAGUGAUUGGGAUAUUGAACAUUGUGGUGUAAUUUCAUAGUUUC